AGCUCAGGUGUGUGCAAUGAACCUGAGUGAUGGAAGGGCUGGAGCCAGGAUCCACCCCUUCCCAGCCCUCAUUUAAGGGUUGGCAGGGAAGAUGAGGGCAUCUUGCUGGAGAUCCCUGUGUACCUGGGGCCUUCUGAAGAGCCCAGGGUAGGCGUGGGGUUGCACAGACAGAGCCCUUUGUUCUGAAGGCUGACAAGCACAUGGAGAUCAGCUCUGACCUCAAGCUCAGGAUGCCCGAGGAUUUCACGAGCACCCAAGGACAAAGGCUGGCAAGCGAUGAAAGGCCUCCUGCUCUCAUUUACUGCACCGGUGUCCUCAGAACUACGUCGGUGAGGAUGGAGGCUGCUGUCAUCAGUGAGGGCUGAGUUCUUAGGAAGAAGUCCCAGCUUCAUUGAAGAUAGUGGCAAAACUCCCACAAACUUCCAGCAGCCAAAGCUGCCUCCCCAGAGUGCUGUUUUUCUCCAAGGUGAUGAGCAGCCACAACUCAGAUUGACACUAAUGGGAGUUGGGAGUCCCUGGCAGCUUCAUAAAGUCAAUAAACCAGCACCUAAAGCAGAGGUGUUUCAUCCUUCCAAUAUUUUAAAAUAAUUGUGGUUCCAGCCUGAUGGACAGAAGCCUGGGAGAUGAUGGAGUUUUGAUUCUGCCUGGCUGGAAGGAAAUUUGUAUUUGGUGCAGGAUAAUGAAUCAGGCAGAUGCUGUCUAAGUUCAUCUUCAGCAUUUCAGAGGCUGCUAGUUUCAUGUUGAUAAAUCAGAUGGCUGUUUUGCUUUGCAAAGCUGGUGUCUUGCCUUCCACCCCCCCUCAGCUGUACAAAUUGCUGCAAACUCACCGUGUUCCCAUAGGCCUCAGCUUGGAAAGCAGGUGAUGCCAUGGAUUCAAGCUGAGAGUGGGUGUGAGUAACAACCUGACACAGCAGCUCGGCUCCCAACCUGCACCAGCAAAGAGUGAGAGCUUCUGCGUGAGUUUUGUCUCUGCUGGGAGACAGGUCGUGGUUUGAGAGAGAUUUUCCAGGCUCUGUUAAACUGCUUUCCAAGUGCAUGGCGUGUUUCCUCAAGGCAACCGUAAUGGGCUGCACCGAAUAGCUGAUGGUUUGAGAUCAGUUCAGUACGGAUGGAUUUAAGGCUGGUUCAUUUCCAGGCAGCUGCACGUUGUUGCAGUCUGCUCUGGUGUCACAAGAGCUACUUUUUCUGCUCUUCUGGAUCACAAUAACCCCUUUAAUUCCAGAGCAAAUCCUCCCUCUUCAGCAUCCUAAAGAGCGCUCCGAGCACCGCCCCUCUGCAAUUUCCCUUUCCCUCUUAACCUUGACCUGUAAUAUGCUGAAAGUUGUUACUGAGAACUACCUUGAUCAGAAAUGACAUUACUGAAAUGUGCUCAGCCAGAUCCCACAAGAGCCCAACCAUGGUAAAGAUUCCCCGAGUCAACAGUUUGAGUUAUGGAUCAAUGCUGUCCUGGAACAGAGUGCACGGAGCCGACCGCUAUGAGGUAGCAGCUAUUAAGUUUUGUUUGCUUUCCUUCAGAGUGGCUGUAAUUUUAUUAUUAUUUUUUUUUUUUUUAAAGAGUUUGUUCUCUUAACCCAGCUGGUGCCCUGGGCACUGUUUGCACACAGCAGCUCCUCACUGCAAGGAGAAUAUGGCUGCAAGGAGCAGAGGAUGCUCGCAUUGCUGCAGUGCAAAAAAUUGAGUGCCUCAACUUGGCAGUGUUUUCAAAGUUGCUUUUUUCUUUUUUUCUUUCCUUUUUCCCUUGAAAUCUUGCUUAUUCCUAGGAGCUGCUUUCUUCAGCCUUUUCCAGUCUGGGUGCCAUAUUCACAGGCUCCAUUAGAGGGAAAUCCUCGACCCAGAAGGUUACAAUGAUCCUCUGACUACUUGAGUCCCUCUCCCAUCCAACCGAGGAACAUCUGUGUAUAUUGAAUCUUACAAGAGUUAACUUCUGGGAAGCCUGGAGCCUGCAAAUUGAAACCACUUCAGUGGGUUCUGCCUGAGACUUUUAUUUACCCCGAACUCCAGUGCAGAAAUUGAGGUCCAAACUGCUCCUUCUUCAGCCAGCGAGAGUAGCAGAUAGAGAAUCCAAGCCUGAGCUUGUGCUCAACCUGAACUCCUCCAGCAUGCAUGAGUUGGCAGGGAAUGAGCUGCUCUCCGUUUCUGGUCUUCCAGCUCUGGAAUUCUUUUCGAUCUCAGAGAUAAGAAAAAAAAAUCUCCUGAACAGAUGCGUCAUGCCUGCUUUAUUUUCCAUUAAAACCAGAGGAGAUGUUUAACUCUGUCCUAUCGGGGCGUGUGCAUGAAUGAGCUGUGCUUCUUGGAGGCAAAAUCCACCCCUUUAGCAGAGAUAUAUGGAGACUUUGGAGGAUCCACCCCCCCAAAAACACUAUCAGCUGUGGAAAAGCCAUUCAUUAGCAACCAGUAAUAGUUCUUCUUUUCUUUUCUCAGAAGAACAGGCAGUGCUAUCUAAAUAAGCUGCUUCCUGAGUUGUUUCUCAAAGUUACUGUUGGAGCUGGAGGCCAACUCUCCUCCCCCACGAGCGCAGCAGAAACAGAAUUCUUGAAGAGGAAAAGCUGAUCUGCCAUCCAGCAGACUGCGCUGCUCUUUUGGAGCUCUUCCCAUCUCUGCAACCCCCCAGGUCAAUGUGUUCCCUGCUUGCUUUUCAACCCUCAUCCCCCACAAAAAGGGCCCUUUUGGGACAGGCUGCCCGGGGAGGUGGUGGGGUUGUUGUCCCUGGUUGAGAUUGGGCUUGGAGAUCUAAGAGGUCUCUUCCAACCUGAAUGAUUCUAUCCGUGAUUCUGCGAUUUCCU
Long non-coding RNA from Tympanuchus pallidicinctus (lesser prairie-chicken), 2783 nucleotides. RefSeq lists it as uncharacterized. The transcript is spliced from 3 exons. Lineage: Eukaryota; Metazoa; Chordata; Aves; Galliformes; Phasianidae. The record is from RefSeq and is a predicted model, not a curated record.